UCCUACGGGACGCAGCAGUGGGGGAUAUUGCACAAUGGGGGGAACCCUGAUGCAGCGACGCCGCGUGGGUGAAGGAGCGUUUCGGCGCGUAAAGCCCUAUCGGCAGGGAAGAAGAUGACGGUACCUGACCAAGAAGCCCCGGCUAACUACGUGCCAGCAGCCGCGGUAAUACGUAGGGGGCAAGCGUUAUCCGGAUUUACUGGGUGUAAAGGGAGCGUAGACGGCAGUGCAAGUCUGGAGUGAAAGGCGGGGGCUCAACCCCCGGACUGCUCUGGAAACUGUACGGCUGGAGGGCAGGAGAGGUA
This 305-nucleotide ribosomal RNA is filed under the name uncultured bacterium. Its description in RNAcentral is "bacterial SSU rRNA". It matches the Rfam family "Bacterial small subunit ribosomal RNA", at positions 337 to 659 of the family's 1533-position model. The record is from RNAcentral.